Molecule: ribosomal RNA, 463 nt
Filed under: uncultured bacterium
Lineage: Bacteria
Description: bacterial SSU rRNA
Rfam family: Bacterial small subunit ribosomal RNA
Source: RNAcentral
GACGAACGCUGGCGGCGUGCCUAACACAUGCAAGUCAACUUGACUGAAGGAGCAAUCUGACAGUAGAGUGGCGCAAGGGUGCGUAACGCGUAAGUAACUUGCCCCAAGGUAAGGGAUAACGUCGAGAAAUCGGCGCUAAUACCUCAUAAUGCAGCGGAUCCGCAUGGAUAUGUUGUUAAAGGUUUACCGCCUUGGGAUAGGCUUGCGUCUGAUUAGCUAGUUGGUGUGGUAACGGCACACCAAGGCUACGAUCAGUAACUGGUCUGAGAGGAUGAUCAGUCACACUGGAACUGAGACACGGUCCAGACUCCUACGGGAGGCAGCAGUGAGGAAUAUUGGGCAAUGCUCGAAAGAGUGACCCAGCAACGCCGCGUGGAGGAUGAAGGUAUUCUAUAUCGUAAACUCCUGUGAGAGCAGACGAAAGACAGAUUAUUAAUCUGGAUGACUGUAUGCUCAGAGGAAG